ACCCGAUUAGCAGCUUCCGGGAAACCAAAGUUUUUCGUUUCCGGGGGAAGUAUGGUUGCAAAGCUGAAACUUAAAGGAAUUGACGGAAGGGCACCACCAGGAGUGGAGCCUGCGGCUUAAUUUGACUCAACACGGGAAAACUCACCCGGCCCGGACACCGUAAGGAUUGACAGACUGAGAGCUCUUUCUUAAUUCGGUGGGUGGUGGUGCAUGGCCGUUCUUAGUUGGUGGAGCGAUUUGUCUGGUUAAUUCCGAUAACGAACGAGACUCUGGCCUAUUAAAUAGACGAUAUAUUUAAAAGUAUAUCGCGCUUCUUAGAGGGACAAGCGGCGUCUAGCCGCAUGAAAUAGAGCAAUAACAGGUCUGUGAUGCCCUUAGAUGUCCGGGGCUGCACGCGCGCUACACUGAAAGAAUCAGUGUGCGUUACGCCUAGUUCGGAAGAACCGGGUAACCCAAGUAAAUUCUUUCGUGCUUGGGAUAGGGAAUUGCAAUUAUUUCCCUUAAACGAGGAAUUCCCAGUAAAUGCGGGUCA
RNAcentral lists this ribosomal RNA (532 nucleotides) under Aporcelaimellus sp. MCt25. Its description in RNAcentral is "SSU rRNA". It matches the Rfam family "Eukaryotic small subunit ribosomal RNA", at positions 1074 to 1630 of the family's 1831-position model. The record is from RNAcentral. Lineage: Eukaryota; Metazoa; Nematoda; Enoplea; Dorylaimida; Aporcelaimidae.